GCCGCUGUGUUGGAAUCGGUAGACAACGCAGACUUAAAAUCUGCCAGAAUUUUACUUCUGUACGGGUUCGAGUCCCGUCAGCGGCACCA
Molecule: transfer RNA, 89 nt
Filed under: Firmicutes bacterium CAG:170
Lineage: Bacteria; Bacillati; Bacillota
Also listed under: 1 other name
Description: transfer RNA-Leu(TAA)
Rfam family: tRNA
About the family: Transfer RNA (tRNA) molecules are approximately 80 nucleotides in length. Their secondary structure includes four short double-helical elements and three loops (D, anti-codon, and T loops).
Source: RNAcentral